AGUCUGACAUGUGUGCGAGUC
Molecule: non-coding RNA, 21 nt
Filed under: Arabidopsis thaliana (thale cress)
Lineage: Eukaryota; Viridiplantae; Streptophyta; Magnoliopsida; Brassicales; Brassicaceae
Source: RNAcentral